Molecule: ribosomal RNA, 468 nt
Filed under: uncultured bacterium
Lineage: Bacteria
Description: partial 16S ribosomal RNA
Rfam family: Bacterial small subunit ribosomal RNA
Source: RNAcentral
GACGAACGCUGGCGGCGUGCUUAACACAUGCAAGUCGAACGGUAAAGCCCUGCUUUUGUGCUGUGCUCGAGUGGCAAACGGGUGAGGAACACGUGAGUAACCUACCCUGUACUUUGGGAUAACUUCAGGAAACGGGGGCUAAGACCGGCUAGGAGCUCCUGCUUCAAGGAUUGGGUUGGAAAGUUUCGGCGGUUGGGGAUGGACUCGCGGCUUAUCAGCUUGUUGGUGGGGUAGUGGCUUACCAAGGCUUUGGCGGGUAGCCGGCCUGAGAGGGUGACCGGCAACAGUGGGACUGGGACACGGACAAGACUCCGACGGGAGGGAGCAGUAGGGAAGGUUACAAAAUGGGAGGAAGCCUGAUGCAGCAACGCCGAGUGCGGGAUGACGGUGUUCGGGUUGUAAACCGCUUUCGCUUGUGAAGAAGAGUGAGUGAAGGUAAUGGGUAAAGAAGCACCGGCUAACUACGUG